UACGUGAGCCUCGGGCGUUACCCGGAUUCACUGGGCGUAAAGGGUGUGUAGGCGGCAUAGUUAGUCGUGCGUUAAGGUCCGAGGCUUAACCUCGGAAGUGCGUUCGAAACGGCUAUGCUAGAGGGUGCGAGAGGUCUGUAGAACUCAUGGUGUAGGGGUGAAAUCCGUUGAUAUCAUGGGGAAUACCAAAAGCGAAGGCAGCAGACUGGCGCAUUUCUGACGCUGAGACACGAAAGCGUGGGUCGCGAAUGGG
RNAcentral lists this unclassified non-coding RNA (253 nucleotides) under uncultured Parcubacteria group bacterium. Its description in RNAcentral is "contains 16S-23S intergenic spacer region". It matches the Rfam family "Bacterial small subunit ribosomal RNA", at positions 524 to 776 of the family's 1533-position model. The record is from RNAcentral.